This 23-nucleotide small nuclear RNA is filed under the name Arabidopsis thaliana (thale cress). RNAcentral describes it as "snRNA_08617". Lineage: Eukaryota; Viridiplantae; Streptophyta; Magnoliopsida; Brassicales; Brassicaceae. The record is from RNAcentral.
UUUUAAUCCGUUAAGCAUCUGUU